Molecule: long non-coding RNA, 543 nt
Organism: Coregonus clupeaformis (lake whitefish)
Lineage: Eukaryota; Metazoa; Chordata; Actinopteri; Salmoniformes; Salmonidae
Exons: 4
Source: RefSeq, a predicted model, not a curated record
GAAGAAGAAGAGCGUUUUUGUGGCUCGUCCUGUGUAAACUUGUUAAUUUUCUCCUUUCAAGAUGCCGACGUCUCGGGAGAGAAUGUGCCGCUCGGAAAUGCAGGACAGAUGCCAGGGAAGUCCAGAACACAUUGACAUGUCUGCGUUGUUUGCAACAUGACUUUGUGACUUCAAGGCAUCUGAACAGAAUCUCCACUUCGAGUUCCAUUCCGGAAUAGGAAUGCGUGUGCUGAUACCUGAUUCCAGACCAUGACACUGAUGUGCUUUCUGAAAAUUCAGGUUUGUGAAAUGUUAAGUCACUGGCUACAUUUGAAAUGUUACCCCAUCUCCCUUAAUGCACCUUGAAGGGUAUUAGGUGGGACUUUGGAUGCAGACUCUUUCACUAGCCCCUUUUGGUUAGCCGACUAUUCAAGAUGGCCUCUUGGAAUUACUGUUUAGUUGCCAUGGCUACCGGUACAUGCUACAGUCCCAAUGAUGACAAACUUAGCUCACUUUGAACCGAUGUGAAACGACAUGAACUACUGAGUGGCUGUAGCUAAUGCA